AACCUGGACUGGACUGCUGGGAUCUGCUGCUGAGCAAGGCACUGGAUCUCAGAAGAACUAGAGAAUGGAACUUGUUCUACUAGCAAACAAGUUCCAUUCAACAGGACUGAAGAUGAGGUGCCAUGAAGACAUCAAAGACAAUGGAGAUACCAUUCCAGGAGAGGAGCGAGAACAGCCUGCAUGGGGACUGAAUUCUUUCUUUCUCUGCCCAGGACUCAUUUUCCUUCCUUUGUUGUCACAGCAGGUGAUUUUCUUACAGAGAAGCAUCUGCUCUCACCCUUGUGGCACAGGUGGCCUUCUCUUGCCACCAAGUCCAGAGGAAUGCGUGCUACCUGGACUUAGCAGAACUUCCUUGUCCCUUCUAUUCCUGUGGCAGUGGGCUCAGAGGACUCAGGCUGGGAAGUGAGAAACUCCCAGAGUGAAGGCUCCU
This 430-nucleotide long non-coding RNA is filed under the name Mus pahari (shrew mouse). RNAcentral's name for it is "lncRNA (MGP_PahariEiJ_G0005066.1)". Lineage: Eukaryota; Metazoa; Chordata; Mammalia; Rodentia; Muridae. The record is from RNAcentral.